Molecule: long non-coding RNA, 289 nt
Filed under: Brachypodium distachyon (stiff brome)
Lineage: Eukaryota; Viridiplantae; Streptophyta; Magnoliopsida; Poales; Poaceae
Description: long non-coding RNA (BDIS_LNC000829)
Source: RNAcentral
GGGCUCGCGAGAAAAUUUAGGGGCGGGAUGGUCUCCGGCGGCCAAAGGCCUCGGAGGAGAGAAUUGGUGGACGACAGGAUAGCUGCAGUGGCGGGACACUUGCCAGGACGGAGGUUUGGAUGACGAGGGCGGCGGCCGCCGCCGCUAGGGCCGGGGACAGGGGGAAGGUCUCGUGGGGAAGGCGAGUUGAUUUCGGGGAUGCCUUUUCUUUUUUCUUUUCUUUUUGCGUGCGGAGGCGUUGGUUUUCUUUUCCUGCAGGAGCGAUCGCGGAGAGAGGCAGACCGGAGGA